CCUACGGGAGGCAGCAGUGGGGAAUAUUGCACAAUGGCGGAAACCCUGAUGCAGCGAAGCCGCGUGAGUGAAGACGGAAUUAGUUAUGUAAAGCUCCAUCAGCAGGGAAGAAAAUGACGGUACCUGAGUAAGAAGCCGCGGCUAACUACGUGCCAGCAGCCGCGGUAAUACGUAGGGGGCAAGCGUUAUCCGGAUUUACUGGGUGUAAAGGGAGCGUAGUCGGCAGUGCAAGUCUGGAGUGAAAGGCGGGGGCGCAACCCCCGGACUGCUCUGGUAACUGUACGGCUGGAGUGCAGGAGAGGUAAGUGGAAUUCCUGGUGUAGCGGUGAAAUGCGUAGAUAUUAGGAGGAACACCAGUGGCGAAGGCAGCUUACUGGACUGUAACUGACGUUGAGGCUCGAAAGCGUGGGGAGCGAACAGGAUUAGAUACCCGAGUAGUC
RNAcentral lists this ribosomal RNA (440 nucleotides) under uncultured bacterium. RNAcentral describes it as "partial 16S ribosomal RNA". It matches the Rfam family "Bacterial small subunit ribosomal RNA", at positions 338 to 795 of the family's 1533-position model. The record is from RNAcentral.